Molecule: ribosomal RNA, 497 nt
Filed under: uncultured bacterium
Lineage: Bacteria
Description: partial 16S ribosomal RNA
Rfam family: Bacterial small subunit ribosomal RNA
Source: RNAcentral
GAUGAACGCUGGCGGCGUGCCUAAUACAUGCAAGUCGAGCGAACGGACGAGAAGCUUGCUUCUCUGAUGUUAGCGGCGGACGGGUGAGUAACACGUGGAUAACCUACCUAUAAGACUGGGAUAACUUCGGGAAACCGGAGCUAAUACCGGAUAAUAUUUUGAACCGCAUGGUUCAAAAGUGAAAGACGGUCUUGCUGUCACUUAUAGAUGGAUCCGCGCUGCAUUAGCUAGUUGGUAAGGUAACGGCUUACCAAGGCAACGAUGCAUAGCCGACCUGAGAGAGUGAUCGGCCACACUGGAACUGAGACACGGUCCAGACUCCUACGGGAGGCAGCAGUAGGGAAUCUUCCGCAAUGGGCGAAAGCCUGACGGAGCAACGCCGCGUGAGUGAUGAAGGUCUUCGGAUCGUAAAACUCUGUUAUUAGGGAAGAACAUAUGUGUAAGUAACUGUGCACAUCUUGACGGUACCUAAUCAGAAAGCCGCGGCUAACUACGUG